CACACACAACUGAUCAGGGUGACUGAAGACACAACUCAUGCUUUCAACAUGCAUUUUACUUUAGAUUUUUAUGCAAUCAAGAUCAUCAUUUCAUACAUGAAGAUGUAUUAGAAAAAGCCCGUAAAAUUGCUUUUUAUGAUAUCAGGAGAGGAACUCUUUCCCAGGAACAGUUUGCCGUGUUCCCAAAGUGUUGCAACACAAUAAUUUAGUGCAAAUGUGAGAUGAGCAGCUGCGGCGGAUCAGUGAUGACAUCAGUGCACAAACACCAGAGCAUUCCCGUCUGGAAAACUGCGCUGUAAUGACUAACAGGAACGCUGGGAACAUGCCGGAUAGGAAUAACUGGGAUAAACACACAGUGGAUGUGAGAUACAGAAACAGAAGUUCUUCCUAAAUUCACCUCAAAUUACAAGAACAUCACAAAUUAGAUCUCUCUAACGUCUCAAAUGUUUCUCCAAGACAGCGACUAAAUGCAGAGCAAAUGGAAAUUUUAAGUGGUUUCUGAAGAGAAAAUGUUUUUUCUAAGGAAUUGUAGGAGAAAAAUUUGAGACAAACCUAAAUGAAGCUCAACUGAGAACUCAUGACAUCUCCAGAGCUCGAGGAUGAAGUUUGAGGAGUUUUAUGGAGACCAAGAGACUUCAGCACAGAUGGAGGACUUUACUUUCCCAUGAACCAUCUUACACACACACACACACACACACACACACACACACAACGUCUGUGAAAGAGAUCAGGCUGUGACUUUGGGGGGGUUCAAUAACAUGGAGAUUUUGUUCUGGCUGGUUUGUUUCUGCUGUAGAAAAGCACCUGUCCAUAGUUAACACACACAUGCGUUUUGAGUGGUUUUUAGGCUGUUGCAAUACAGUUAGGGUGUUUCGAGUGUUUUAGGUGGUUGCUAUGCAGUUAGGCUAUUGCGAUGCAGUUAGGGUGUUUAAAGCAUUUUAGGAGUCUGCUAUACAGUUUGGGUGUUUUGAGUGUUUUAGGUGUCUGCUAUGCAGUUAGGGUGUUUCGAGCGCUUUAGGCUGUUGCUGUGCAGUUAGGGCGUUUCGAGUGUUUUAGGUGGUUGCUACGUAUUUAGGGUGUUUUAAGCACUUUAGGCUAAUGCUAAACAAUCAGGAUGUUUCGAGUGUUUUAGACGUCUGCUAUACAGUUAGGGUGUUUAGAGCAUUUUAGGAGUGCUAUGCAGUUAGGGUGUUUCGAGUGUUUUAGGUGGUUGCUAUGCAUUUAGGGUGUUUUGAGUGUUUUAGGCUGUUGCUAUGCAGUUUGGGUGUUUCGAGCGCUUUAGGCUGUUGCUAUGCAGUUUGGGUGUUUCGAGCGCUUUAGGCUGUUGCUAUGCAGUUAGGAUGUUUCGAGUGUUUUAGGCGUCUGCUAUACAGCUAGGGUGUUUAGAGCAUUUUAGGAGUGCUAUGCAGUUAGGAUGUUUCGAGUGUUUUAGGUGGUUGCUAUGCAUUUAGGGUGUUUUGAGUGUUUUAGGCUGUUGCUAUGCAGUUAGGGUGUUUAGAGCAUUUUAGGAGUGCUAUGCAGUUAGGAUGUUUCGAGUGUUUUAGGUGGUUGCUAUGCAUUUAGGGUGUUUUGAGUGUUUUAGGCUGUUGCUAUGCAGUUAGGGUGUUUCGAGCGCUUUGCAUUUAAGGUGUUUUGAGUGUUUUAGGCUGUUGCUAUGCAGUUUGGGUGUUUCGAGCGCUUUAGGCUGUUGCUAUGCAGUUAGGAUGUUUCGAGUGUUUUAGGUGGUUGCUAUGCAUUUAGGGUGUUUUGAGCGUUUUAGGCUGUUGCUAUGCAGUUAGGGUGUUUCGAGCGUUUUGGCGGCUGCUAUGUAGUUUGGGUGUUUCGAGCGCUUUAGGCUGUUGCUAUGCAGUUUGGGUGUUUCGAGCGCUUUAGGCUGUUGCUAUGCAGUUAGGGUGUUUCGAGCGCUUUAGGCUGUUGCUAUGCAGUUAGGGUGUUUCGAGCCCUUUAGGCUGUUGCUAUGCAGUUUGGGUGUUUCGAGCGCUUUAGGCGGCUGCUAUGCAGUUUGGGUGUUUCGAGUGUUUUAGGUGGUUGCUAUGCAGUUAGGGUGUUUCGAGCCCUGUAGGCUGUUGCUAUGCAGUUAGGGUGUUUCGAGUGCUUUAGGCUGUUGCUAUGCAGUUUGGGUGUUUUGAGUGUUUUAGGUGGUUGCUAUGCAGUUAGGGUGUUUCGAGUGUUUUUAGGAUGCUGUUAUGCAGUUGUUUGGGUGUCUUGAGUGUUUUAGGCAGUUUCUAGGGUGUUAUGGCUGUUUUUAGGCAGUUACUUUUAUAUCCUGUGUGUUUUACGCAGUUAGUAUGCAGUUGCUAGGGCAUUUCGAGUGUUUUAGACUGUUGCUAUGUAGUUGUUAAUGAGUGCAGGGUUGCUAGGUGGUUGCCAGGUGUUUUCUUCCUGUUUGGUCUGUAGAUGUGGCUCUGGUUUCUCCUUCGAUGUGUGUCUGUGGUAUUCUUUUGGUCCAGCAGGUGCAUCUGAUCACUUAAAAGUAGCAGCACACCUCUGCUCAACAACACACAUGAUUUGAGGAAUCAUUCAUUUCUGGAGCACAAAUGCUGCAGGAGUGAGUCUGUUUACUGCUGCAGAUCAGGAGCAGAUGGAGUGAAACCAGAGCAGUCACGAAAGCCACAACACACACACACACACACACACACACACACACACACACACACACACACACACACAGUCUCUCCCACUACACACCUUAUCGGUGUGACUCGCUUGCUGCACCUGUGCUGAACUGACCCACUACACACACACAUGCAAUAAACACACAUGCAAGAAAACACACACUUUUGAGACAGACAUUCAACAAACUAGCAAACUAACAUUCGUUAUUUUUGCGGAAGGAAGUUCCGCCCCUCGUUUUGGACUUUAUUCCAUCAACCUGCAAUUGCCAUAAUGCUGUACAGAUGUAGAACAACAUCAAGAGCUCCAACACACACACACACUGAGGUCUGGCUUUACCAUCAAACACUAAUCUAUUCCACAUGAACCACAGCGAGUGCGCGCACACACACACACACACACACACACACACACACACAGUCCCUGAGGAGAAGUGGCUUCCUGUGGCUUGAUUAGGGAGAACCGUGCAAAGACAAGUGCCUCCCACAACAGCACCUGUGACUGUGUGUGUGUGUGUGUGUGUGUGUGUGUGUUUCAGGUCAGAUGUCAAUACAGCCAGGAAACACUUUACACACAACUAAUAGAGAGAGAGAGACACACACACACACACACACAGAUUUUGCUGGUUUCUAUCAGGUUGUCAGUUCAGACGAGACCGCUGAAGAUAAUCUCAGAUCACCGUUUUUUAAUUAAAAAAAAAAUCUAAACAAUCAAAAUGAGUUGAUGAAAAACUAAUGAUUAAAUCAUAAAAUGUAAAAUUAAAAUAAAUAAAUAUCAAAUUAAAAUAAAUAAAUUUCAAAUAAAAACAAUUAAAGUGGAUGAAAAGUUAAUAAUUAAAUAAAAAAUAUAAAAUUAAA
This is a long non-coding RNA of Ctenopharyngodon idella (grass carp), 3470 nucleotides long. RefSeq lists it as uncharacterized. The transcript is spliced from 2 exons. Lineage: Eukaryota; Metazoa; Chordata; Actinopteri; Cypriniformes; Xenocyprididae. The record is from RefSeq and is a predicted model, not a curated record.